UCAGUGGUUAUGAAUUUUGCUCUCUGAAGGACGUGCAAUGUUAUAUUGAAUCAGGGGACACAAGUAAAUGCAAUGUUAGGCCAAAGAAGAGAACUGCCCAGGAUGCUUGUAUUACACAGAAUCAAGAUUAUGUGAGUUCCUCCUAUUGUUUUCACUUUCUGUAGCUUGCAUGUUUGUGUGGGCUGGAAAUGUGUGAGAACAAUGCAAUCUACAAAAACAAUUAGCUUCAUCAAUUGGAAGUUCUCAUCGAUUGGAAGUUGCAGGGGAUUCAGUCUCUGACUAAACUGAUUAACUAACUGGUGUAUCUCCUUGGCAUGAUGUGCAUUAGCUUCAUCAAUUACAAUGCCUUGCUAGAGCUUCUGCCCGUGUGUUUAUUUCAUACCACAUUCAAAGUUAAAUGUACCUACGACGCCUCUUUUGGGACUGCUCGUGACGACCAUUCCGUGUUAUCCUGACAUGGCUUGCUAUGCUGUUGCGUCCGUGCAACUCUCUGUAGAAAAGACAGUAAAGUUGUCCACGCGUUGGACCCGAUGGGAGCCCCGGCCAAACCACUCCACCGCAGUUCAAUACCUGUCGCAGAUGAUCCAGACGCUGUCGUUUCCAAAGAGAACUCCCAAUGCGGUCGUGAAGAAGCUGUCGUAUAUAACAGUUGAUAAACAUGACAAAAAUUCUCCGCCGCUAUUUGGAGGACAUUAAACCUGGGAGCAGAGGAAGGAAAGCUUUAAGUUGAAUGCUACCAUGAAGGUGUUGGCCGACGAGCUCACGCCCAAAGCGCGAUGAACCACAUACAUUUUAUACCCCUGUUUUCUUGGCAAAAAUACAUUUUACUUCCUCUAAUUUUAAAUAGGAUAUUCUUGGGAAUGAGAUGUAAUUUUAGGAGAAUUACAUUUCAGCAUUUUAUUUUAUCCUGAAACUAUUGAUCUCUCUCUCCCUCUCUCUC
Triticum dicoccoides is the source of this 940-nucleotide long non-coding RNA. RefSeq lists it as uncharacterized. Lineage: Eukaryota; Viridiplantae; Streptophyta; Magnoliopsida; Poales; Poaceae. The transcript is spliced from 3 exons. The record is from RefSeq and is a predicted model, not a curated record.